AUGGUUAUUGCAGCCCAGAAAAAUAAUCUCAUCAAAGGGCUGGCUUUUGGACUGACCGAGGAAGGGGUGGGCAUCCUACAAUACGCUGACGAUACUGUCUUGUGUUUUGAACAUGAUAUUGAAAAAGCUGUCAAUAUUAAGCUGGUGCUUUAUCUCUUUGAGCUCAUGUCGGGGUUGAAAAUCAACUAUGAUAAAAGUGAAGUAUUUGUUAUCGGAGGAGAUAAUGAAACGGACAGGAUCUAUGCAGAGAUGUUUGGCUGUCGGGUGGGUACCUUACCCAUGAGAUACUUGGGAGUGCCAGUUACAUAUUCCGCUCUUAAAAAUAUUGAGUUGGACUUCCUGGAUGGUAAAUUGAUCAAAAAACUGGAUGCGUGGGCAGCAUAUGCAGCUUCAUGUGGAGCUAGGCUUACCCUGCUAGGUUCUAGUCUGGAUGGUAUUCCAUCGUAUCUGAUGUCCAUGUUACUUUUCAACAAAACCUUUGUUGAAAAAAUUAAUAAACACCGCAGAUGUUUCUUUUGGAGGAAAAAGAAUAAGAAGCGAGCUUAUCAUAUGGUCAAAUGGACUAGGGUUUGUCGGUCUAAAAGAAUCGGUGGCCUGGGUUUGAAAGAUAUCCACAGGCAGAACAUUAGUCUCCUUGUGAAAUGGUGGUGGAAGUUAGAAACUGGUGAUGGGUUAUGGCAACGUAUUGUUCGAGCGAAGUAUUUCAGAAAUAAAACCGUUGCGAAUAUUCGCAGUCGUUUUUCUGACUCCCCUUGCUGGAAAUCUAUCAUGAAGGUCAAAGAGGUUUAUAUGGCUGGGAGGAAAGUCAACAUUAAUAAAGGAAAUUUGGCCAGGUUUUGGCAUGACCCGUGGAUUGAUAACUGCAUACUGCGGGAUCGGUUCCCUGUCCUGUACGACAUCUGUCAAAACCAAAAGUGCACCAUUGCAUCCUUCGUGGCCAAUAACUACGAGCUUGCUUUUAGAUGUAGGUUGUUUGGUGAAUUAGAGGAGCAAUGGUCCUGGGUGGUGUGCGAGGCUAAGAAGAAGGUUGUGAAUGAAAACUCAGAUACUAUCUCCUGGUCUCUGAAUAGUGGGGGCAAAUUUACUACUAAAUCGGUCUAUGAGUGGCUGGAGAGAGAUUUAUCUGGACCUAGUUAUAAAAUGAUAUGGAAAGUUGCGAUCCCCUUGAAAAUAAUUUUUUCCUAUGGCAACUGUUUCAAAAUGUUGUGCCUAUGCGCGAUAACAUGCGGCGUAGAAAUUGGCCAGGAAAUCCUGUGUGCUCCUUCUGCACAAAUGUGGAAACUGCUAAUCACCUCUUUUUUACCUGUCCUCUCGCCCGUACGGUUUGGGGCGUAUUGGGGUUGA
RNAcentral lists this ribosomal RNA (1344 nucleotides) under Triticum aestivum (bread wheat). RNAcentral describes it as "partial small subunit ribosomal RNA". The record is from RNAcentral. Lineage: Eukaryota; Viridiplantae; Streptophyta; Magnoliopsida; Poales; Poaceae.